Molecule: ribosomal RNA, 494 nt
Filed under: uncultured bacterium
Lineage: Bacteria
Description: partial 16S ribosomal RNA
Rfam family: Bacterial small subunit ribosomal RNA
Source: RNAcentral
GACGAACGCUGGCGGCGUGCUUAACACAUGCAAGUCGAACGGUGAAGCGCCUUCCUUUUUGGUGGGUGUGGAUGAGUGGCGAACGGGUGAGUAACACGUGAGUAACCUGCCCCCUUCUUCUGGAUAACCGCAUGAAAGUGUGGCUAAUACGGGAUAUUCUGGGUCUGUCGCAUGAUGGGUCUGGGAAGGAUAUUGUUUCGGUGGGGGAUGGGCUCGCGGCCUAUCAGCUUGUUGGUGGGGUGAUGGCCUACCAAGGCGGUGACGGGUAGCCGGCCUGAGAGGGUGGACGGUCACACUGGGACUGAGACACGGCCCAGACUCCUACGGGAGGCAGCAGUGGGGAAUAUUGCACAAUGGGCGCAAGCCUGAUGCAGCGACGCCGCGUGAGGGAUGGAGGCCUUCGGGUUGCGAACCUCUUUCGCCAGUGAAGCAGGCCUGCCUCGUUUGUGGGUGGGUUGACGGUAGCUGGAUAAGAAGCGCCGGCUAACUACGUG